GCAGCAGGCGCGUAAAUUACCCAAUCCGGAAACCGGGAGGUAGUGACAAGAAAUAGCAAUAGAGGGCCCGAUGGGUUUUCUAAUUGGAAUGAGAACAAGUUAAAAAUAUUAUCGAGGAGCCAGCAGAGGGCAAGUCUGGUGCCAGCAGCCGCGGUAAUUCCAGCUCUGUAAGCGUAUACCCAAGUUGUUGCAGUUAAAACGCUCGUAGUCGGAAAUAGGUUAGUUUCCUGGGGGUUUUUUGUCCUAACGGGCUACUCCAGGCUAAUUAGCCUAUCUUGUGGAUAUGGUUGCCGGGAGCGUGGAUACUUCAUUGUGUCUGCACUUUUGUCUUUCGGUAGUCACCGCAACGUUACUGUGAAAAAAUUAGAGUGUUCAAAGCAGGCAAUUGUCGUGAAUAACUUAGCAUGGAAUAAUAGAAUAGGACCUCUGAGGUUUUGUUUCUAUUGGUUUGUCAAGACCAGGUAAUGAUUAAGAGGGACGGUUGGGGGCAUUUGUAUUCCGGCGUCAGAGGUGAAAUUCUUGGACCGUCGGAAGACACACUGCUGCGAAAG
This 551-nucleotide ribosomal RNA is filed under the name Peyssonnelia sp. RNAcentral's name for it is "SSU rRNA". It matches the Rfam family "Eukaryotic small subunit ribosomal RNA", at positions 425 to 951 of the family's 1831-position model. Lineage: Eukaryota; Rhodophyta; Florideophyceae; Peyssonneliales; Peyssonneliaceae. The record is from RNAcentral.